RNAcentral lists this ribosomal RNA (494 nucleotides) under uncultured bacterium. Its description in RNAcentral is "partial 16S ribosomal RNA". It matches the Rfam family "Bacterial small subunit ribosomal RNA", at positions 28 to 507 of the family's 1533-position model. The record is from RNAcentral.
GACGAACGCUGGCGGCGUGCUUAACACAUGCAAGUCGAACGGUGAAGCGCCUUCCUUUUUGGUGGGUGUGGAUGAGUGGCGAACGGUUGAUUAAAACGUAAGUAACCUGCCCCCUUCUUCUGGAUAACCGCAUGAAAGUUUGGCGAAUACGGGAUUUUCUGUGUCUGUCGCAUGAUGGGUCUGGGAAAGAUAUUGUUUCGGGGGGGUAGGGGGUGGCGGCUUAUCAGCUUUUUGUGGGGGGGAUGGCCUACUAAGGCGGGGAGGGGUCGCCGGCUUGGGAGGGUGGACCGUCACACUGGGACAGCGACACGGACCAGACUCCGAAGGGAGGCAGCAGUGGGGAAUAUUGCAAAAUGGGCGCAAGGCUGAUGCAGCGACGCCGCGUGAGGGAUGGAGGCCUUCGGGUUGUGAACAUCUUUCGCCAGUGAAGCAGGCCUGCCUCGUUUGUGGGUGGGUUGACGGUAGCUGGAGAAGAAGCGCCGGCUAACUACGUG